Molecule: long non-coding RNA, 139 nt
Organism: Coffea arabica (coffee)
Lineage: Eukaryota; Viridiplantae; Streptophyta; Magnoliopsida; Gentianales; Rubiaceae
Source: RefSeq, a predicted model, not a curated record
ACCUCCACCAGCUCCACCCAGCUUUUGCAGGGGCUUGAAGCAGAUACAUUGACUGGGGAACCCAUCUUGAGGCUGAUAUUGAUGGAAAUGGAGUUCUGGACUAUGGAGAGUUUGUAGCAGUGACGAUACACUUGCAGAG